GUUGGCAGUGGAGGCAAGGGUGCCAUCAUGGAAAGUCCUGUGUACCUGAGUCCUUCUGAAGGGUAUUGCUGACUCUCCUUGAAAAGAGAAAGGACUGUGCUACCCCACUGCUGUGGAAUAACACUGUUAUCCAUCAUCACCUUCAUUGAAAUAAGCAGGACUAUUUGUGCAGUGGGCUGCAAGCAUCAGCAUCCACAUCUGGUCUGAACAGUUCCAUAGAAAUUCUCCUACACCGUGGAGCCAUGGGUUGGUUCAGGUCUGGUUCCCGUGGGCUUUCCCUGACUCUCUGAGGCCAUCCCAUCCUUGUCUAUCCCUCACCACUCCUGGGGCAGCUGUCUGGAGCCCCCUUGCUGAGCUGGAGACAGCUUCUGGCUUUAUGGGGUCCGCUUGGGAUUAGAGGCUGUCAGGCAGAGCAGGUGGGGAAGAGUCAUGCACUGAGGAAAAGCUAAUUGCCUGCGUUCACACGAGGUGAUGUUUGUAUCUAAAGCAUCAGCAAAGUGCAAUGGAUCUCCAUGAUUCAAGAGAACACAGAGUGGUGUCAAUCAAUGUCAAGUUACUUGCUUUGGAGGAGAUUUUGCCAGUUUUGUGGGCAGGAGUGGGAACUGAUUGAGCUGCAGCUGCAGUAGAUCUAAAUACCUGAAAAAUAUUUCACAAAGCUCCUAAAUUAAUGGUGAAAAGUAUUUGUCAGGCUGCUUUGCUUGAUCCUUUGAACAGGGGAAAAACGUGGACUAAAUGGGAGAGCAAACACAGAACUGAUGUCAGGCUGCGUGUGCUCUUUGUGUACAUGUUCUGGUGAUCAUCUCAGCAGUGCCUCUGGCCUUCACCUGAGAGAUUUGGCUUCUGAAGGGACAGAAAUGAUUUGGAGAUGGUCAGAGCUUGAUGAUACUGCUUAUUUCUCCAGAGAUGUGCAGACUUUGAGCAGUGUGCAACGGCUGUCAGCACAGACGUACUCCUGGUAUGGAUUGUCCCCCUGCUCUGUGUGUCCCUUUUGGGAGCCAUGGACACAGCACACCCACUCCAAUCACUGAAUGGCAGAGAUGAUCCCUACGCAGAUACUAGACCAAGGGCUGCUUCAUUGGGAACCUUCUGUCUCCUGAGCCAUCCCUCCAGUCUUUCCAUCUGCACUGCAUUGUACUUUUUUAAACAGGUUGGAAAUAAAAGUACAUUCUGCUUUUUGUUCUCAGCAGAAGGGAGAGCAGCAGUGGACACUGCUGCUGAGGUGUUAAUGGUGACAUUAUCUAGAAAGGGGCAGCCAAAACAGGAUGUGUAAAACCCCACCCAUGCUGCCCUUUAAUUUGCUGUUACACGGAGUGGAAGAUUUGAAAGCAUAUUUCUGGGUAAUUAAUUCAAAGAGUGAUUUCUAAUGGCUAACGUUGUCAGUUUUGACUGUAAGGGAGGUCUGGGGCUGGAGCAGGCAGUGAAGGGGAAGGAAAAUGCUUGGAGGUCACCGGCAGAUGUUAAAAUAUUUUGACAACCCACAUCCAAGAGGCUAACUUAGUGAAAUGCUUUGGCCAGCACCUUCCAAGAGGUCUGAAACUGAAUCAAUUUGUUUUUCUCCUGUAUAGCAUACAUGGCUUGGACACUGGCUUGUCCAUAAAUCACCAUUCCCCAUCUGGGCAGCAGCACCAUCAAUCACUUCCUGCACCCACCACCCUGCUCUCUGUGCCACUGCAGAACCACCGAUAAGAGGGAUUUAGAGUCUCUUGAAUUUAACUCCCAAAUUUUCCGUGACACGUAGGGUAAGCUCUGCCUUCAUCUCCACUGAUUAUUAAAGUCAGUGCGACAAAGGUCCUGCACCUGUGUAUGGAAAUAUACCUGAUCUGUGGUGCUGGGGAAAUGAAAUUAGGAAGCUCUAUUCAUGGUGUUAUUAUCUCCGGCUGCUUGGAAGGAUUUAAUCAAACUGCUGCAGCUUGCUGAUGAGGAUGUCCGCAGCUUGCGAGUUUGGUUCCCCUGCACUUCAUCUCUCUGUGGCAUUUACUAAAACCCUCCAUCCUACCCCAGCGGGCUUGGAGUCAAAUACAGCAUUUGCAAAGGAUUUGCUGGGGACCAUUCUGCCGAGGUUUUUCAAAAGAGUUGGUCAGGAAGCUGGAGAGGCACAGCUCCUGGCAGUCGUGCUCACUGGCUUUUCACUGCCUUUUUUGUGCUUCAGAGAACACUCGGGAUAAACGGAUAGGGAAAGAAAACUUGUGAAUGCAGAAAAUAACUGGGAGAAUAUUUGAUUCAAGUUUGAUUUCUGAAACAAGGUUUUGGUCAAGACUUACUCUUUUUGAUUUCCUUUGCUUGUGUCCAGAUAUGGAUUCACCAUUUCAACCCUUCUGCAGUUCCUACGCUUAUUGUAACAGGGUGUAUUGGUAAAUUGGAAAGCACAUCCCUCAUUUUCUGUCCUACACUUCUGUCAUGCAUGGAGAAAUCUAUUAUUUUUCCACCCCGGCCUGUGGUGGUUGCACUUCAAGGUGGGUGAAGGCACCCCAUGUGCCUGUACCACUUGCAGAUGCACACACGAGGUUGAUUGGACCAAAGCUGGCAGAUUUCCACUCCAAUUAGCCACAUCCAUUUUGUUCAGCUCUCUAAAAAGCAGAAAAGAAAGACGUCUGUAUGCAGGCAUGGACAUACACAGCAUUACUGGUGCCAAUAUGCCUAGUGCAGACCAACACAAAACCUGGAGCAGACUUUCACCAGCCUGGGCCUCCCACAGUUUACCUUGUUGCCAGGCUUGUGGCUGUCUGUUGGAAGUUGGUGUACUGCUGGAGGUGCUGUACAGCAAAUCCAUCCACAAAACAGAUGUACCUUUCCUUUGUAUGCAAACUCUGUCACUCCAUACGUUAAUUAGAUAAACGCUUGCCCUGUUGGCUGAUCAGCUGUAUUUGGGCACGCACCUGGACUUACUGCAGGGCUAAGUUAAGCAUAAGUCACCAGAGUCCAAAAGUUCUGAUCAUGUCAAUUAUAUAUAUACAUUCUUUACAGUUCUCUAAAGCUCCCUAUUCAGUAAGGAAGAAAGCUGUGUGCUGGCAGUCUGUCUAUCUGAACACAUUUUUCAUUACCAAUGCAGCAGGAUGGGAAGUGAACAGCAGCAUCUACAUACAUAUGCAAUUAAACCAUUCCUUACACAAUAGCCACUUGCAGUUACCCCUGUAAAAUCCAUAGCCAACGCUCUCAGAUCAGCAGCAGUCGUCAGUCCCUCUUUGCAAUCAGUAAAUAGACUCUCCCUCUGGCCCCAGAUGAAGGAUGCAGGCAGCAGCAGGCAGACGCAGCCCUUGCGCUCCCCUCUGAGCAGCUGCCAAAAAAUCCUCUCUGCCCUCGUGUGAUCAUAAUGGAAGGGACGGCUCUGCUGGGGUGUGCCGGCGCGUUCUGCCUCACUGCCCAGCACGGGAUGCUCUCCCUUCACGCUCCGCUGCCUUGGAGCUGCACACAGGAGUUGCCUCCAGCAGCCCUUGCCAGCCCCUGGAUAUUUUGGACAUUGAGUGCUGCAUGAACAAUAGGACCGCAGCUCUUGGCCAGGAGUCGUGGCCAAGCAAAGAGCUCCCGGACUGUGACCAGUAAAAAGGAGAGAUUUCCUUUAAGUGCUGUAUUGUGAAGGGGAGUUGGGUGGCUGGGAAGGGCUUCUCUCUCUCUCUCCCUUUUUGUUCUUGUCCAGGAGCAAUCUUUGCUUGCUGAAGGAGUGUGAAAGCACCAAGUGUCCAUUAAGGCUGUAAGAUACACCCAGGACUUCAGUGCUAACUCACAUUAAAGCUCUCCAUGGCAAUGGUGUGAAUGCGUGUAACAUCAAGCAGAAGCAGAGAGCUCAUGGGAUCAGAGAGGAUUGUAGUGGUCAGGGGAAGCAGGACAAGGAGGGCAGCUUUCAUUCAUUCCAGCCCCAAAUAUCUCUGUGGUUCUACCUUGCUCUGCAAAAGUCUCCCAGGUUCACUUGUUCCUCUGAGAUUUCUUUCAUCCUACUUAGCAAGCUCACAGCUGCAGCUGCUGAA
This is a long non-coding RNA of Lagopus muta (rock ptarmigan), 3962 nucleotides long. RefSeq lists it as uncharacterized. NCBI's taxonomy places the organism in Eukaryota, Metazoa, Chordata, Aves, Galliformes, Phasianidae. The transcript has 3 exons. The record is from RefSeq and is a predicted model, not a curated record.